This is a non-coding RNA of Odocoileus virginianus texanus, 640 nucleotides long. The record is from RefSeq and is a predicted model, not a curated record. NCBI's taxonomy places the organism in Eukaryota, Metazoa, Chordata, Mammalia, Artiodactyla, Cervidae.
CUAGACCUGGGGGCGGGGUCAUUAUCCACAGACUAUAAUGCCGCUUCUGGCAGCAUCUCUACUGGCUCCUUUUUAUCCACUGGCAGUGGUGUCAAGGUGAUGGACUUCCGGAAUUGGCUCCCAGGAUGGUGUCCAGACAUUGGUUCCUGGCACUCCUCACCAUUUUCGGACAUGGACACUGCUUCUCCAGAUCAGUGCUGCUGCUGCCCUUUCACCUUCAUCCAGGGCUCUGCUUGGGUUUCUUGGAGGAGACGCUAUCCUUACCCGCCACCCCCACCCCAGGCCAUCGUGUCCUUUCACUUUCUCGUCUCCUGCCAAAAUUCCUGGCUCCCUAAGCCAGGAACUGAGGCAAGAAGCAGGAAGUGAUGGAACCAGGGCCCGCAGUACCUGCUGAGACAGAAACCGUAUCCCUGCCCAGCACCGUUUUCGCUACCACGUGGCCUCUGCUUCAGGCCAGGAGAGAGUCCUAUUUGAAAGUCAGAAGAGCAGUUACAGACAAAAAAAUGCAAGGUUUUUUUUCUUUUUUCUUUUUUCUUUGAAGAAGAGUUGAAUACAUGAAUACAUGGCAGAGUGUUUUACAACAGGAGGUCUUCCUUUUUUGCAAGAAGUUCCUACAAUACACGAGUUUGGUGAAGUCAUC